GAUGAACGCUGGCGGCGUGCCUAAUACAUGCAAGUCGAGCGAACAGACGAGGAGCUUGCUCCUCUGACGUUAGCGGCGGACGGGUGAGUAACACGUGGAUAACCUACCUAUAAGACUGGGAUAACUUCGGGAAACCGGAGCUAAUACCGGAUAAUAUAUUGAACCGCAUGGUUCAAUAGUGAAAGACGGUUUUGCUGUCACUUAUAGAUGGAUCCGCGCCGCAUUAGCUAGUUGGUAAGGUAACGGCUUACCAAGGCAACGAUGCGUAGCCGACCUGAGAGGGGGAUCCGCCACACUGGAACUUGGACACGGUCCAGGCUCCUAAGGGAGGCAGCAGUAGGGAAUCUUCCGCAAUGGGCGGAAGCUUGACGGAGCAACGCCGCGUGAGGGGUGAAGGUCUUCGGAUCGGAAAACCCUUUUAAUAGGGAAGAACAAAUGUGUAAGUAACUAUGCACGUCUUGACGGUACCUAAUCAGAAAGCCACGGCUAACUACGUG
Molecule: ribosomal RNA, 497 nt
Filed under: uncultured bacterium
Lineage: Bacteria
Description: partial 16S ribosomal RNA
Rfam family: Bacterial small subunit ribosomal RNA
Source: RNAcentral